AUUGAACGCUGGCGGCAGGCCUAACACAUGCCAGUCGAGCGGAUGAAGGGAGCUUGCUCCUGGAUUCAGCGGCGGACGGGUGAGUAAUGCCUAGGAAUCUGCCUGGUAGUGGGGGAUAACGUCUGGAAACGGGCGCUAAUAGCGCAUACGUCCUGAGGGAGAAAGUGGGGGAUCUUCGGACCUCACGCUAUCAGAUGAGCCUAGGUCGGAUUAGCUAGUUGGUGGGGUAAAGGCCUACCAAGGCGACGAUCCGUAACUGGUCUGAGAGGAUGAUCAGUCACACUGGAACUGAGACACGGUCCAGACUCCUACGGGAGGCAGCAGUGGGGAAUAUUGGACAAUGGGCGAAAGCCUGAUCCAGCCAUGCCGCGUGUGUGAAGAAGGUCUUCGGAUUGUAAAGCACUUUAAGUUGGGAGGAAGGGCAGUAAGUUAAUACCUUGCUGUUUUGACGUUACCAACAGAAUAAGCACCGGCUAACUUCGUG
RNAcentral lists this ribosomal RNA (484 nucleotides) under uncultured bacterium. RNAcentral describes it as "partial 16S ribosomal RNA". It matches the Rfam family "Bacterial small subunit ribosomal RNA", at positions 30 to 507 of the family's 1533-position model. The record is from RNAcentral.